CUUCUUCCUUAGAUAUCUACACAGCAUGCCUAGCGUCUUCCGAUAUCAUUCAAGCCGAGUCUCCACCAGGCAUGCUUCCAUCCCUGUUUGAAGUGUAGUUAUUCUGGUAGUUUGACUGUGCACCUUGGUGAGGCAUGCCUCCAUUGUUGGGCCCAUUCUGAAAGUUAUGCUGCAUGUUCCCAGGCAUGUUAUUGGACCAUCCUGGACUUUGAGGCACUCCUCCCAUGUUAUUGGGAGGCAUGCCUCCAAAAUUGUUGUGAGGUAUUCCUCCCAUGUUUUGUGGCCCACCCAUAUAGUUGUUAGGAGGCGGCGGUGGUGGCCCACGCAUAUAGUUGUUAGGGGG
Molecule: unclassified non-coding RNA, 343 nt
Filed under: Hevea brasiliensis (rubber tree)
Lineage: Eukaryota; Viridiplantae; Streptophyta; Magnoliopsida; Malpighiales; Euphorbiaceae
Source: RNAcentral